This 2545-nucleotide long non-coding RNA is filed under the name Oncorhynchus mykiss (rainbow trout). Its description in RNAcentral is "lncRNA (ENSOMYG00000068935.1)". The record is from RNAcentral. Lineage: Eukaryota; Metazoa; Chordata; Actinopteri; Salmoniformes; Salmonidae.
AUGAGAUCAGACUCAGGUUCAGUCAUUGUAGCCAUCCAGCCAGCGGUCCAAGGUCUGGCUACAAGCUCCCCACCCAGACACCCUCCCUCCAGGCAGGCAGCCCACCUUACCCCUGCCCCAAAGAGCAGGCUUGUCAGUGUCUGCCCAACCCACAGGAGGACCGAUGGGAAACCUGGGUUGAUGCCAGCCACAGAGCACCGGACAGAAGCUAACGAACUACUGUGUGACUUCAUCACAAACAUUCCAGAAUGUUCCAUGUGGUGGGAGUGUGCUGUAGCAAAGCGUUCAUUGGAGUUCCCUCAGUGAUGUUAAUGAGUAGGUAGAAGGUAGGUGGAGUUUGUAGCAAGUGCAAGAGGUGCAGGGUCAGUGAGUGAAGAUGCUGUAAAAACAAUUCAUACACACCUUCCUGAAGACUGCAGACCCACAAGGACAUCAACUGGGGGAGGAGAGUUGAGGGAUUAUUAAGUGAUAUUGUAAGAACUAGUGGUCAGACAUUAGAUCAGUCAACAGCACAGCAUUAUCUAAUCCUGGGGACCCACCACUCCUCUGGGGCCCCAGGACCAGAACACACUGCUAGUGUAGAUCAGUUCGGUAACCAAUCAGUCAGCGUAACAUCAGACUGGGGCGGUAAUAUGAAAUCAUCACUUCUACAUUAUAAAGGACAGAAGUCAAGUCGAUCACACACACCUUGAGGUAGUUCAGUAACAGGCAUCUUCUAGUAACCAGUCUGGUACCACCAUCAGGACCUGAAGGAGAGGAGUCUAAAUAAACAUGCUGAACAGCACUACAUUCAAAGACUGCUUUAUUGUCUGAUCCUAGACCAGCUCUACUGCCCUGAGACAAUUAUGGAAAGUGCUGACAAGGGCCCUGUACUGCAUCAGGACACCAGUUAUUUGGAAGUCAGUAUUCAAUAUGCAAGAAAAUAUGAAUCUGACGACAUCCCGAGUGGCCCAUCCACCCCAGUCCCGUGUGCUGCUACUAGCACUUCAUGAAUGAUUCUCCAUAUUAAAUCUAAUAGCAGCCAUUUUGGAUCAACAAUGCAGAGCCAAAUGCUAUUUUGUGUGGGUCUCUGGUCCCAUCAGACAGUUGGUAACCCCAACCAGCUGUCCCCUUGUUGCCCUGGCAACGCCAGUGGGUCCACCUUUGCAGGUUCUGUCGUCGACGCAGGGCGUAAGACGCGUGCGGGUGUCAUCACUAGGAGCCAGAGUCACCACGACUACCAAACAUCAACUGUUCCCUCUUGUUUGCAGUGAUUUUUAACACUAGACUGGUUAUAGCUUGUGGCUAAGGCAGAGGCUCUGGUAAGACACAAGGACUAGAUUCAUUACCCAUAACAAUUACCAAACGUACUCAUUAACCAAAACUCACCAGUCUAGUUGGCAUCACGACUUCCUGUUCAGCCACAUACAGAAGAACCUAGGAAGACAAAAGCUUCAGGUUACAGUCUGGGUGGGGACCAGAUAUGAGGGCACAAGGAGGGGGUUAGACAUAACAUAUGUAGCCUUAAUGACAGGUUACGUAGCCCUCUGCUGAAGUCAGCUAUUCCUUUUCUCAACAGGAGUUCAGACGAACGAGAUUCCAAAGAGAAUAUUCAUCAUGUUCAGCAGAAGGUUGGGAGAGCUCAAACGUGUCAUGUUCAGCUAAACUAUACAAGUAAAGUUAACAAUGCUGUGUAAAUAUCAAUACAAUAAACUAUAAAGCACCACUUGGGACCGUUUCAGAACCACAACUUACCAGUAUGUUGGAGUCCACGGUGCAAUGCCACUGACCACAGCACCCAGACCCUGAGGAAUGAAAGGCAAUCAUUUUAUUAGUGUGAUGAUUGAGGAAUCGAUGACUAACUGCAGCAUUAUAUACAGUCACUCAGCAGUUCAUGUCGUUUCACAUCGGUUCAAAGUGAGCUAAGAUUGUCAUCAUUGGGACUGUAGCAUCUUCAAGUGACUGGUUCCACGGAGUCAUGUCACUCAACCCACAUGGCACCCCAGUCCCUAUACAGUGGACUACUUAUUGACGAGACCAACAGGCCGUACUGUAUUGUGACCUGCCCGAUGGUGGUCCCAAUCACAGCCGGAUGUGCCCUAGACCCCUGCGUCACCCAGGAGCAAUUCACAAGGAAUAAGGUCCCAUUUGGGAUUCCACCAACAUGUAUACGGGUGGAAGACCAAUCCUACCCGUAGUGGGGAACCCAGUUUGAUAGUUGGACAAACUCACCAGUGAAGGUCGUUAAUCCCUUCAGGAAACUUCAUCCCCACGUCUGUUAAAAUGAGAAAGGAAGUUAGUGUUUUGCUGUAAAGAACAUUUAAACAUACAACUGGUGCAUUAGCUACAGUCACUCAGUAGUUCAUGUCGUUUCACAUCGGUUCAAAGUGAGCUAAGUUCAUCAUCAUUGGGACUGUAGCAUGUCCCGGGAGCCAUCUUGUACAGUUGGUCAGCCAAAAAGUGAAAUUGCCUUCAUCCAAAGUCACCCUGUUGCCUUUAUAGUACAUGGGUCCUGGUCUAAGGUAGUGCACUAUAGAGCCCAUCAGAAUAAAGAGUAUCUUCACAA